This 21-nucleotide non-coding RNA is filed under the name Caenorhabditis elegans. The record is from RNAcentral. Lineage: Eukaryota; Metazoa; Nematoda; Chromadorea; Rhabditida; Rhabditidae.
CAUAUUUACAAUACAAAUCGC